RNAcentral lists this ribosomal RNA (254 nucleotides) under uncultured bacterium. Its description in RNAcentral is "partial 16S ribosomal RNA". It matches the Rfam family "Bacterial small subunit ribosomal RNA", at positions 524 to 776 of the family's 1533-position model. The record is from RNAcentral.
UACGUAGGGGGCUAGCGUUGUCCGGAAUUAUUGGGCGUAAAGGGCUCGUAGGCGGUGUGUCACGUCGGCCGUGAAAACCUGCAGCUUAACUGUGGGCGUGCGGUCGAUACGGGCAUCACUGGAGUUCGGCAGGGGAGACUGGAAUUCCUGGUGUAGCGGUGAAAUGCGCAGAUAUCUGGAGGAAUACCGGUGGCGAAGGCGGCAUCCUGGACCGGCAUUGACGCUGAGGAGCGAAAGCCAGGGGAGCAAACGGG